GGUCUGAUUAUGGCUCAGAUUGAACGCUGGCGGGAUGCUUUACACAUGCAAGUCGAACGGCAGCACGGACUUCGGUCUGGUGGCGAGGGCGAACGGGUGAGUAAUGCAUCGGAACGUGCCUAGUAGCGGGGGAUAACUACGCGAAAGCGUAGCUAAUACUGCAUACGCCCUCGUGGGGAAAGCGGGGACCUUUCGCCUCAAAUUAUUAGAGCGGCCGAUAUUUGGCUAGUUGGUGGGGUAACGGCUCACCAAGGCGACGAUCCGUAGCUGGUUUGAGAGGACACCAGCCACACUGGGACUCACACCUGACUCUACGGGAGGCAGCAGGGUAUUCUGACAAUGGGAACGGAUCCACAUCCGCGUGUGCGAUGAAGGCCUUCGGGUUGUAAAGCACUUUUGCAGAGUUAAACGCACGGAUAAUACCCGUGCAACUGACGGUACCUGGUGAGAAUAAGCACCGGCUAACUACGCGCCAGCAGCCGGUAAUACGUAGGUGCAAGCGUUAAUCGGAAUUACUGGCGUAAAGCGUGCGCAGGUAUGCGGUUCGGAAAGAAAGAUGUGAAAUCCCAGAGCCAACUUUGAACUGCAUUUUUAACUAACAGCCAGAGUGGCCAGAGGGAGGUGGAAUUCCGCGCGCAGCAGUGAAAUGCGUAGAUAUGCGGAGGAACACCGAUGGCGAAGGCAGCCUCUGGGAUAACACUGACGCUCAUGCACGAGCGUGGGGAGCAAACAGGAUUAGAUACCCUGGUAGUCCACGCCUCUAAACGAUGUCAACUAGCUGUUGGGGCCUUUCGGCCUUGUAGCAGCUAACGCGUGUGAAGUUGACCGCCUGGGGAGUACGGUCGUAAGAUUAAAAACUCAAAGGAAUUGACGGGGACCCGCACAAGCGGUGGAUGAUGUGGAUUAAUUCGAUGCAACGCGAAAACCUUACCUACCCUUGAUUAUGUCUGGAAUCCUGAAGAGAUUUGGGAGUGCUCGCAAGAGGAACUCGGAACACAGGUGCUGCAUGGCUGCCGUCAGCUCGUGUCGUAGAUACGGUUGGGUCCGGCAACGAGCAACCUGGUCAUUAGUUGCUAUGAAAGGGCACUCUAAUGAGAUCGCUGGUGACAAACCGGAGGAAGGUGGGGAUGACGUCAAGUCCUCAUGGCCCUGCAGGUAGGGCUUCACACGUCAUACAAUGGUCGGGACAGAGGGUCGCCAACCCGCGAGGGGAGCCAAUCCCAGAAACCCGAUCGGUCCGGAUCGUGUCUGCAACUCGACUGCGUGAAGUCGGAAUCGCUAGUACCUAUGGAUGAAAGGGCGUCGCGUGAAUACGUUCCCGGGUCUUGCAAUACCACCGCCCGUCACACCAUGGGAGUGGGUUUUACCAGAAGUAGUUAGUCAACCGUAAGGAGGGCGAUUACCACGGUAGGAUUCAUGACUGGGGUGGCCGUGGAACAAGGUAA
RNAcentral lists this ribosomal RNA (1445 nucleotides) under uncultured Bordetella sp. RNAcentral describes it as "partial 16S-23S ribosomal RNA intergenic spacer". It matches the Rfam family "Bacterial small subunit ribosomal RNA". The record is from RNAcentral. Lineage: Bacteria; Pseudomonadati; Pseudomonadota; Betaproteobacteria; Burkholderiales; Alcaligenaceae.